Molecule: ribosomal RNA, 253 nt
Filed under: uncultured bacterium
Lineage: Bacteria
Description: partial 16S ribosomal RNA
Rfam family: Bacterial small subunit ribosomal RNA
Source: RNAcentral
UACGUAGGGUGCGAGCAAUAAUCGGAAUUACUGGGCGUAAAGCGUGCGCAGGCGGUUUGGUAAGACAGAUGUGAAAUUCCCGGGCUUAACCUGGGAACUGCAUUUGUGACUGCCAGGCUAGAGUGCGGCAGAGGGGAGUGGAAUUCCGCGUGUAGCAGUGAAAUGCGUAGAUAUGCGGAGGAACACCGAUGGCGAAGGCACCUCCCUGGGCCUGCACUGACGCUCAUGCACGAAAGCGUGGGGAGCAAACAGG